GGGACAGGAAAAUAAAAGGGAAAUCCGUGAAAACCGGAUGCAGUUCCCGCUACUGUAAGUUCCGCCAUUAAACGGGCAAGACCGCACAUUCGACUGCCACUGUUAACAUGUCAGCAAUGACAGGAUAAUGGGAAGGCGUUGCGGCCGGAACGAGCCAGGAGACCUGCCGUUAUGUUUU
RNAcentral lists this non-coding RNA (178 nucleotides) under chicken gut metagenome. The record is from RNAcentral.